GAUGAACGCUGGCGGCGUGCCUAAUACAUGCAAGUCGAGCGAACGGACGAGAAGCUUGCUUCUCUGAUGUUAGCGGCGGACGGGUGAGUAACACGUGGAUAACCUACCUAUAAGACUGGGAUAACUUCGGGAAACCGGAGCUAAUACCGGAUAAUAUUAUGAACCGCAUGGUUCAAAAGUGAGAGACGGUCUUGCUGUCACUUAUAGAUGGAUCCGCGCUGCAUUAGCUAGUUGGUAAGGUAACGGCUUACCAAGGCAACGAUGCAUAGCCGACCUGAGAGGGUGAUCGGCCACACUGGAACUGAGACACGGUCCAGACUCCUACGGGAGGCAGCAGUAGGGAAUCUUCCGCAAUGGGCGAAAGCCUGACGGAGCAACGCCGCGUGAGUGAUGAAGGUCUUCGGAUCGUAAAACUCUGUUAUUAGGGAAGAACAUAUGUGUAAGUAACUGUGCACAUCUUGACGGUACCUAAUCAGAAGGCCACGGCUAACUACGUG
Molecule: ribosomal RNA, 497 nt
Filed under: uncultured bacterium
Lineage: Bacteria
Description: partial 16S ribosomal RNA
Rfam family: Bacterial small subunit ribosomal RNA
Source: RNAcentral